ACCUUUGUGGUGAAAUGGUAGACACUCAUGACUUAAAAUUAUGUGCUUUUUUAGCGUACCGGUUCAAAUCCGGUCAAAGGUA
RNAcentral lists this transfer RNA (82 nucleotides) under Euglena longa. Its description in RNAcentral is "transfer RNA-Leu (UAA)". It matches the Rfam family "tRNA". Rfam says of the family: Transfer RNA (tRNA) molecules are approximately 80 nucleotides in length. Their secondary structure includes four short double-helical elements and three loops (D, anti-codon, and T loops). Lineage: Eukaryota; Euglenozoa; Euglenophyceae; Euglenales; Euglenaceae. The record is from RNAcentral.